Molecule: ribosomal RNA, 460 nt
Filed under: uncultured bacterium
Lineage: Bacteria
Description: partial 16S ribosomal RNA
Rfam family: Bacterial small subunit ribosomal RNA
Source: RNAcentral
CCUACGGGAGGCAGCAGUGAGGAAUAUUGGUCAAUGGACGCAAGUCUGAACCAGCCAUGCCGCGUGCAGGAAGACGGCUCUAUGAGUUGUAAACUGCUUUUGUACGAGGGUAAACGCAGAUACGCGUAUCUGUCUGAAAGUCUCGUGCGAAUAAGGAUCGGCUAACUCCGUGCCAGCAGCCGCGGUAAUACGGAGGAUUCAAGCGUUAUCCGGAUUUAUUGGGUUUAAAGGGUUGGUAGGCGGUCGGAUAAGUUAGAGGUGAAAUACCGAGGACCAACUUCGGACUUGCCUUUGAUACUGGUCGGCUUGAGAGUAGUUGCGGAAGGCGGAAUGCAUGGUGUAGCGGUGAAAUGCUUAGAGAUCAUACAGAACACCGAUUGCGAAGGCAGCCUACCAACCUACUUCUGACGUUGAGGCACGAAAGCGUGGGGAGCAAACAGGAUUAGAUACCCUAGUAGUC